Molecule: ribosomal RNA, 859 nt
Filed under: Bipolaris heliconiae
Lineage: Eukaryota; Fungi; Ascomycota; Dothideomycetes; Pleosporales; Pleosporaceae
Description: LSU rRNA
Rfam family: Eukaryotic large subunit ribosomal RNA
Source: RNAcentral
AAACCAACAGGGAUUGCCCUAGUAACGGCGAGUGAAGCGGCAACAGCUCAAAUUUGAAAUCUGGCUCUUUCAGAGUCCGAGUUGUAAUUUGCAGAGGGCGCUUUGGCUUUGGCAGCGGUCCAAGUUCCUUGGAACAGGACGUCACARAGGGUGAGAAUCCCGUACGUGGUCGCUAGCUAUUGCCGUGUAAAGCCCCUUCGACGAGUCGAGUUGUUUGGGAAUGCAGCUCUAAAUGGGAGGUAAAUUUCUUCUAAAGCUAAAUAUUGGCCAGAGACCGAUAGCGCACAAGUAGAGUGAUCGAAAGAUGAAAAGCACUUUGGAAAGAGAGUCAAACAGCACGUGAAAUUGUUGAAAGGGAAGCGCUUGCAGCCAGACUUGCUUGCAGUUGCUCAUCCGGGCUUUUGCCCGGUGCACUCUUCUGUAGGCAGGCCAGCAUCAGUUUGGGCGGUGGGAUAAAGGUCUCUGUCACGUACCUCUCUUCGGGGAGGCCUUAUAGGGGAGACGACAUACCACCAGCCUAGACUGAGGUCCGCGCAUCUGCUAGGAUGCUGGCGUAAUGGCUGUAAGCGGCCCGUCUUGAAACACGGACCAAGGAGUCUAACAUCUAUGCGAGUGUUUGGGUGUCAAGCCCGAGCGCGUAAUGAAAGUGAACGGAGGUGGGAACCCGCAAGGGUGCACCAUCGACCGAUCCUGAAGUUUACGGAAGGAUUUGAGUAAGAGCAUGGCUGUUGGGACCCGAAAGAUGGUGAACUAUGCUUGAAUAGGGUGAAGCCAGAGGAAACUCUGGUGGAGGCUCGCAGCGGUUCUGACGUGCAAAUCGAUCGUCAAAUUUGGGCAUAGGGGCGAAAGACUAAUCGAA